CACCGCCUCGAUCAGCAGCAAUAACAACAGGUCACAGCAACAGCGCAUAGGCGGCAGCAGCAGCGCGUGGGUAGCAGCAGCAGCAGCGCGUGGGUAGCAGCAGCAGCAAACUCCGACAGCAGCUACAAACAGAGGGAGUAUACAUCAAAACUCACUGCGGCAGUGACGGAUUAAGAGGGUAACUUUAUCUUACUUGAUUAAUUUUAAUUCAUUCUUCUCCUAUCUAUUCAUGUGGGUCUUUAUAUCUGCCUAUUUAUAUCUUCAACCUUUGUUGUAAAACCCCAAAAAAAUUAUCCAUUUUUCAAAGUCCCAAACAAAAUAACGUUUGGUCAAAUUUGAAUAAGUACUUAAUUUUAUUUCAAAACAACCCAUGAUUUAUGAUACUGUAAAAUACUUGUGUAUAAAAGAACAAAAAGAAAGUUGUUGAAUCUAAAAGGUACAGGCCUUGCAAUUUCUUCUGUACUUUUCUUUCUUGGGUCAUAAUGUUGACCAAAUUAGUGUGAAAAUAUAGACUGGUCAACGGACAGAGAUUGAAUUUUGGUGGCUACUUUAUACAUACAUUACCGUAAAGCCAAAAAUAUUCACUGAAACGCGGCUUUAUUUUAGAAAAGUAUGUAUUCCAAUAUGACAAACGUUAAAGUUUGAAUUCCAAAAAGAUAUCUAUUCAUGUGGGUGUUCUUUCAUUUUCUAUGUUGAUGCUUGUUUUCAAAUUGGCUCGUAUUGCAGUUGACGAAUCUCGAUGUUGUUGUGUGUUUGUGCCAUGUAGUAACUAAUAAUUAUUGAAUCUUUUUCUAGUGUUGAAAGGGUUGAUUUUGCGGGAUAGACAACUGAGGAAGCUCAACAUCAAAAAAAGUUGAUACAAGCUUCUUUCAUCAAAGUAGGAGAUAAGGUUUGGUGUUUCUAAAUUUCUAAAGUUCAAGUACAAUUUCUUUUUAUAAUGUGUUUGUGUCCAUCUAGUAUUGAUACUUGGUUUAAAUUUUGUGAUAAUUAGUUUGUGUCCAUCGAGUGUUUGUAAAGCAUAAGUACCAACACUAGUUGAUCCUAUUGAUGACAACUAUUGAUUUUCUUGCAUGAUCAAUUUGUGUCUAUCUAGUGUUGACACUUAGCUUUAAAUUUAGAAAUAUUAUAUUUGAUAACCAUAAGUACCAACACUAGUUGAUCCUAUUGAUGACAAAAUUGAUUUUCU
RNAcentral lists this long non-coding RNA (1186 nucleotides) under Solanum tuberosum (potato). RNAcentral's name for it is "long non-coding RNA (STUB_LNC008167)". Lineage: Eukaryota; Viridiplantae; Streptophyta; Magnoliopsida; Solanales; Solanaceae. The record is from RNAcentral.